CCGGCUCACGUUGAACGCUAGCUACAGGCUUAACACAUGCAAGUCGAGGGGCAGCAUGGUCUUAGCUUGCUAAGGCCGAUGGCGACCGGCGCACGGGUGAGUAACGCGUAUCCAACCUGCCUUACACUCUUGGACAGCCUUCUGAAAGGGAGAUUAAUACAAGAUGUUAUCAUGAGUAAGCAUUUUCGCAUGAUUAAAGGUUUACCGGUGUAAGAUGGGGAUGCGUUCCAUUAGAUAGUAGGCGGGGUAACGGCCCACCUAGUCUUCGAUGGAUAGGGGUUCUGAGAGGAAGGUCCCCCACAUUGGAACUGAGACACGGUCCAAACUCCUACGGGAGGCAGCAGUGAGGAAUAUUGGUCAAUGGACGAGAGUCUGAACCAGCCAAGUAGCGUGAAGGAUGAAGGUUCUAUGGAUUGUAAACUUCUUUUAUACGGGAAUAAACGAAUCCACGUGUGGAUUUUUGCAUGUACCGUAUGAAUAAGGAUCGGCUAACUCCGUGCCAGCAGCCGCGGUAAUACGGAGGAUCCGAGCGUUAUCCGGAUUUAUUGGGUUUAAAGGGAGCGUAGAUGGGUUGUUAAGUCAGUUGUGAAAGUUUGCGGCUCAACCGUAAAAUUGCAAUUGAUACUGGCAGUCUUGAGUACAGUUGAGGUAGGCGGAAUUCGUGGUGUAGCGGUGAAAUGCUUAGAUAUCACGAAGAACUCCGAUUGCGAAGGCAGCUUACUAACCUGUAACUGACAUUGAUGCUCGAAAGUGUGGGUAUCAAACAGGAUUAGAUACCCUGGUAGUCCACACGGUAAACGAUGAAUACUCGCUGUAGGCGAUAUACAGUCUGCGGCCAAGCGAAAGCAUUAAGUAUUCCACCUGGGGAGUACGCCGGCAACGGUGAAACUCAAAGGAAUUGACGGGGGCCCGCACAAGCGGAGGAACAUGUGGUUUAAUUCGAUGAUACGCGAGGAACCUUACCCGGGCUUAAAUUGCAACCGAAUAUGGCGGAAACGCUAUAGCUAGCAAUAGCGGUUGUGAAGGUGCUGCAUGGUUGUCGUCAGCUCGUGCCGUGAGGUGUCGGCUUAAGUGCCAUAACGAGCGCAACCCUUGCCGAUAGUUACUAACAGGUUAUGCUGAGGACUCUGUCGGGACUGCCAUCGUAAGAUGUGAGGAAGGUGGGGAUGACGUCAAAUCAGCACGGCCCUUACGUCCGGGGCUACACACGUGUUACAAUGGGGGGUACAGAGGGCUGCUACCACGCAAGUGGAUGCCAAUCCCAAAAACCUCUCUCAGUUCGGAUUGAAGUCUGCAACCCGACUUCAUGAAGCUGGAUUCGCUAGUAAUCGCGCAUCAGCCACGGCGCGGUGAAUACGUUCCCGGGCCUUGUACACACCGCC
Molecule: ribosomal RNA, 1382 nt
Filed under: uncultured bacterium
Lineage: Bacteria
Description: bacterial SSU rRNA
Rfam family: Bacterial small subunit ribosomal RNA
Source: RNAcentral